RNAcentral lists this ribosomal RNA (440 nucleotides) under uncultured bacterium. RNAcentral's name for it is "bacterial SSU rRNA". It matches the Rfam family "Bacterial small subunit ribosomal RNA", at positions 338 to 795 of the family's 1533-position model. The record is from RNAcentral.
CCUACGGGUGGCAGCAGUGGGGAAUAUUGCACAAUGGGCGCAAGCCUGAUGCAGCCAUGCCGCGUGUAUGAAGAAGGCCUUCGGGUUGUAAAGUACUUUCAGCGGUGAAGAUAAUGACGGUAACCGGAGAAGAAGCCCCGGCUAACUUCGUGCCAGCAGCCGCGGUAAUACGAAGGGGGCUAGCGUUGUUCGGAAUUACUGGGCGUAAAGCGCGCGUAGGCGGAUAGAUAAGUCAGAGGUGAAAUCCCGGGGCUCAACCCCGGAAUUGCCUUUGAUACUGUUUAUCUUGAGUGCAGAAGAGGUAAGUGGAAUUCCGAGUGUAGAGGUGAAAUUCGUAGAUAUUCGGAGGAACACCAGUGGCGAAGGCGGCUUACUGGUCUGCAACUGACGCUGAGGCGCGAAAGCGUGGGGAGCAAACAGGAUUAGAUACCCGCGUAGUC